This 253-nucleotide ribosomal RNA is filed under the name uncultured bacterium. RNAcentral's name for it is "partial 16S ribosomal RNA". It matches the Rfam family "Bacterial small subunit ribosomal RNA", at positions 524 to 776 of the family's 1533-position model. The record is from RNAcentral.
UACGUAGGGUGCGAGCGUUACUCGGAAUUACUGGGCGUAAAGCGUGCGCAGGCGGUUCUCCAAGUCCGUUGUGAAAGCCCCGGGCUCAACCUGGGAAUGGCAGUGGAAACUAGGGGACUGGAAUCUGGCAGAGGGGGGUGGAAUGCCGCGUGUAGCAGUGAAAUGCGUAGAGAUGCGGCGGAACACCGAUGGCGAAGGCAGCCCCCUGGGCUGAGAUUGACGCUCAGGCACGAAAGUGUGGGGAGCGAACAGG